CCAGAUUAUUUGUUGCUGUGCA
This 22-nucleotide microRNA is filed under the name Anolis carolinensis (green anole). RNAcentral describes it as "aca-miR-5399-5p". The record is from miRBase by way of RNAcentral. Lineage: Eukaryota; Metazoa; Chordata; Lepidosauria; Squamata; Anolidae.